AAAAAGUCUUGCUAACGCAGACAGUGGAUGCCUAGGUAUAAGUUGCCGAAGAAGGACGUAGUUGGUCGCGAUAGACGCCGGUUAGAUGCCAACAAUCUUUAACCCGGCGGUGUCCGAAUGGGGAAACCCGGCCCAGUUCAUACUGGGUCACUCCGUGGUGAAGGUAUCCUGCAUUUUUUGCAUGAAUUGGGAAUUUAAAAUUAUAAAUUCCUGUGGCUCGUGCACGAAGUGCAGGAUAUAUAGCCAUGGGUGUGGAUACCACCCGAACUGAAACAUCUAAGUAGGGUGAGGAAGAGAAAUUAAUCAAGAUUCCGUCAGUAGCGGAGAGCGAAAUCGGAACAGCCCAAAUCUCACUGUUCCUUCGGGAAUGGUGAGAGGUUGUGGGACCUCAAUGUGGGAUUAAUGUUUGAUAGCGGAAUGAUCUGGAAUGUUCAACCAAAGGGAGUGAAAGUCUCGUACGCGAAAUUAAACAUUACCCUAGAGGUAUCCCGAGUACCUCGGUGCAAAUACUCCGAGGGAAUCUGGGGGAACCAUCCUCCAAGGCUAAAUACAACUUAUGACCGAUAGUGAACUAGUACCGCGAGGGAAAGGUGAAAAGAAGGGCGGGACGCCCAGUGAAAUAGAAACUGAAACUGUUUGCGAACAAACCGAUAGAGCCCCGUUACAAUUUUUACAAAUAUCUUUGGAAAUACCGAAGUGCCAGCCGAGAGGCGCCUUCGGCUUAUGCUAAUAAAGCUCCAAAGACUUUGCUGGAAUUGUAACGGGGUGAUAUCGUGCCUAUUGAAGAAUGAGCCGGCGAGUAAUCAUCCUUUCUUUAGUCUAAACCCGCCAAGCGGGUGGAGGCGCAGGGAAACCGAGUCUGAACAGGGCGAACAAAAAGAAAGUGUGGUUGACCCGAAACCAAGUGAUCUAUCCAUGAGCAGGGUGAGCCCCGAUGAAAAUCGGGGGGAGGCCCGAACCCGUAUCAGGUACAAUUGGUUGGGAUGACUUGUGGAUAGCGGUAAAAUGCCAAUCGAACUUGGAGAUAGCUGGUUCUCCCCGAAAGAUCUUUGGGGAUCGCCGUGAGGGAAAUUUUUAGUGGGGUAGAGCUCUGAAUGGGACAUUGAGGGUAACUGAGAUGUCUCAAUCAAACUUCCAAAUACGCUAAAAGGAACCCUCAUGAGUCAGCCGCGGAGGGCUAAGCUUCCGCGACGAAAGGGAAACAACCCAGACUCUCGGCUAAGGCCUCUAAAUCUUGGUUAAGUUGAUAAGGAAGUCUUUGUCCAUAGACAGCCAGGAGGUUGGCUUAGAAGCAGCCACCCUUUAAAGAUAGCGUAACAGCUCACUGGUCGACUUGCCCCGCCUUUGGCGGGGUAGGAUGAAGGCGCCUAAAAUUUACGAGGAUUAAACCAAGUGCCGAAGCUAGAGAUACUCACGCUCUGCGUGAGUGUGGUAGGGGAGCGCCCCGUCAGCAGUGAAGUCAAACUGUAAAGUUUGGUGGAGCGGACGGGGGUGAGAAUGCCGGCAUAAGUAGCAAGCAAGAGCCGUGAGAAUCGGCUCCGUCGAACACCCAAGGUUUCCGUCGCUAUGAUUAUCAACGACGGGUUAGUCGGUACCUAAGGCGAGGCCAAAAUGGCGUAGUCGAUGGACAAGUGGUUAAUAUUCCACUACUUUUUUUAAAUCGCUUCACCGCAAGGUGCAUGCGUAAGCAUGACUAACUGGGGCCUGACUGGAGUGGAUGUUUCAAUCCCGCAGACAAAUGCGGGUGCAAGCAUUUAGAUAGGAUAUGUCGGAAAAACCGCAAAUCUGAUUAAUCGAGAUGUGAUGCAAAGUUGAGCGAGAGCUCGGCGAUUUGGACGCAUUCAGUUCGUAAAAAAAGGGUCGCAGUGAGAUUCAAAGAAAGCCGUACCGCAAACCGAAUCAGGUGGGUUGGUAGAGAAUACCAAGACGCGCGGGAGAAGGAUCCUUAAGGAAUUCGGCAAAAAAACUACCCGUAACUUCGGGAGAUGGGUUGCCCCGCCCCUAUUCUGUGCAAGGUUAUUGAGUAUCAACUAUUGGAAGACGAAGUCGCCUUCGGCUGCCUUGGUUGGUAAAUCAUAUGCUUUGUUUGGAAUAGGGGCGGGGUUGCAACUAAAGUCUGCUAGUCGACUGUUUAGCAAAAACACAGGUCCGUGCUAAAGUGAAAACUUAGGUAUACGGGCCGACGCUUGCCCAGUGCCGGUAAGUUAAGGGGAUGGGUGGUACGUUCAUGCGCAAGCACUGAAUGUACUGCUUUGAACUGAAGCUCCGGUAAACGGCCGCAGUAACUAUAACUGUGCUACGGUGAUAUUCGCUGCCGUAGAGAAAUUCUGCUAUAUGCUGGAAAACCUGGAGUAUUCCACACUAGUUGACUUCGGAUAGUUUUCGGAUUAUUCUGAAGACAACUAAUAACGUGAUGGGUGCAGGCAAUCAGCAGGAAAGACUUGAGACAAUUGGAUGGGUUGUUGGAUUUAUAGACGGAGAAGGCUGUUUUUCAGUUUCUCUUCAUAAAAAUCCCACAACUAGACUUGGCUGGCAAGUGAUGCCAGAAUUUGUAGCGACGCAGGGUGAGAAGAGUAUUCUUGCCUUAGAAAAGCUAAAAACUUUUUUUUGGAUGUGGUCGAAUAUUUGUGAAUCGUAGAUACGAUAAUCACAAUGAGAAUCUUUACAGAUUCUGUGUUCGGUCAUUUUCCGAUUUAAGAGGAAUUAUUAUUCCUUUCUUUAACGAGCACAAGCUCUAGACUUCUAAAGUCAAAGACUUUGAGAUUUUUUCUCAAAUAAUAGAUUUGAUGAAGAAUAAGGAGCAUUUAACUCAAGAAGGGAUUAAGAAAAUAACAGCUUUAGCUACAAAUAUGAAUACUAAGAAAAGGAAAAGAUUGUUUCAAGAAUCCUCAGAGACCAUACGCAGAAGUACAUUCAGUUGACAUGAAUGUACAAGAUAUGGUUCGAUCUGCAUAGCGAUAUGCAGGAUCUAGGUUUAAGGAGCCUAGUAUUAACAAAAAUGAGCGAAGUUCCUUGUCGGGUAAGUUCCGACGUGCACGAAAAGCGUAACGAGCUAGCAACUGUCUUGAGGAUUCACCCGGUGAAUUUGCGAUGGCUGUGUAGACGCGGCCUACUCCCACCAGGACAAGAAGACCCCGUGGAGCUUUACUGUAGUUUGGUAUUGGUUUGUGCAUUUUAAUUGUCUAGAGUAGGAGGGACCCCUUCGGGGGAACGAUGUAACACCUCCCUUUGGAAUGUGGCAAAUCUUACUUGGUCCCGAUGAAGACUCGGGAGAGGAAAGUGCUAGAUGGACAGUUUUACUGGGGCGGUACCUUGCCAAAAAGUAACGCAAGGGCACAAAGGUCAGCUUGGCACGGAUGGAAAUCGUGCUUUAAGCGUAAAGGUAUAAGCUGGCUUGACUGCGACACCGACGGGUGGAGCAGGUACGAAAGUAGGUCUUAGUGAUCCUCCGAUCCCGCAUGGUGUGGGACGGAGCUUACCGGAUAAAAGCUACCCCGGGGAUAACAGAGUGGUCGCGCCCAAGAGUCCAUAUCGACGGCGCGGUUCGCUACCUCGAUGUCGGCUCAGCGCAUCCUGGGGCUGAAGAAGGUCCCAAGGGUCGGUCUGUUCGCCCGUUAAAGCGCUACGUGAGCUGGGUUCAGAACGUCGUAAGACAGUUGAGCUAUAGGAUAUUUAUAGCUGACAAUGAGCUGUCUCCUAUUGUACGAUAAUGAACCUACUAAAUGAACAAUAGUAAAGAGGAUUCUGUUAAUUAUAGGUCUCGACCCUAGUCGAGAAUAAAUCUGGCUGUAUGCUGGAAAAUCUUGUUAAAUGGUAAAGUACUGGUAUGCAAUUUGUGUACUAGUGAAAAUCUUUACCCUGAGAUUAUCAGCAGGAAAGAUCCCGCUUAUCGGGAAAUCCUCACAGGCCAUACGCCAGAGUACGUUCAAUUUAUAUGUAUGAAUGUACAAGAUAUGGUCGGACCCUCAUGGUGACAUGAGGAGCUAGCGAAAACAAGAAAUCGGCUAGCCAUUGAUUUUGUAACAAUAAUGUCGGACUCAAUCCGGUGGGAGCAUACGAGUUUUGAAGGGAUCUGGCCUCAGUACGAGAGGACCAGGCUGGGGGAAUCUCUGGUGUGCCGGUUGUGACGUCAGUCGCAACGCCGGGUAGCUACAUUCCCUGGUGAUAACCGCUGAAAGCAUCUAAGUGGGAAGCCCACCCUAAGAUGAGAACUCGGGCGUGCAUAGCACAGAGGAUAAGAGGAAAAUACUCGUAUCUUCCGCGCUGUGCGCGCGAAGACCCCCGCGAAAAGAGCGGGUAUAGCCGGCAAGAUGUGGAAGCCCCGUAAGGGGUUAAGCAUACUUUGCGCGGAUCGGUCAAAAAGACUUUUUUA
Molecule: non-coding RNA, 4372 nt
Organism: Candidatus Woesebacteria bacterium GWB1_43_5
Lineage: Bacteria; Candidatus Woeseibacteriota
Source: Rfam